GAGGGUAUAGCUCAAGUGGUAAAGUGUAUGCUUUGCAUGCAGGAGGUCCUGGGUUCAAUGCCCAGUACCUCG
Molecule: transfer RNA, 72 nt
Filed under: Camelus bactrianus (Bactrian camel)
Lineage: Eukaryota; Metazoa; Chordata; Mammalia; Artiodactyla; Camelidae
Also listed under: 2 other names
Rfam family: tRNA
About the family: Transfer RNA (tRNA) molecules are approximately 80 nucleotides in length. Their secondary structure includes four short double-helical elements and three loops (D, anti-codon, and T loops). Further hydrogen bonds mediate the characteristic L-shaped molecular structure. tRNAs have two regions of fundamental functional importance: the anti-codon, which is responsible for specific mRNA codon recognition, and the 3' end, to which the tRNAs corresponding amino acid is attached (by aminoacyl-tRNA synthetases). tRNAs cope with the degeneracy of the genetic code in two manners: having more than one tRNA (with a specific anti-codon) for a particular amino acid; and 'wobble' base-pairing, i.e. permitting non-standard base-pairing at the 3rd anti-codon position.
Source: Rfam by way of RNAcentral